AGUUUGAUCCUGGCUCAGGAUGAACGCUGGCGGUAUGCUUAACACAUGCAAGUCGAACGAAAGCUUUAUGCUUUAGUGGCGAACGGGUGCGUAAUACGUGAGAAUCUGCCCUUAGGAGGAGAAUAACUUCUGGAAACGGUUGCUAAGUCUCCAUAUGCCGAGAGGUGAAAUAGUUUACACUGCCUAGGGAUGAGCUCACGCCUGAUUAGCUUGUUGGUAAGGUAAUGGCUUACCAAGGCCACGAUCAGUAGCUGGUUUGAGAGAACGAUCAGCCACACUGGGACUGAGACACGGCCCAGACUCCUCCGGGAGGCAGCAGUGAGGAAUUUUCCGCAAUGGGCGAAAGCCUGACGGAGCAAUACCGCGUGAGGGAUGAAGGAUUUUGGUCUGUAAACCUCUUUUCUCAAGAAAGAAGUUCUGACGGUACUUGAGGAAUAAGCAUCGGCUAACUCCGUGCCAGCAGCCGCGGUAAUACGGGGGAUGCAAGCGUUAUCCGGAUUUAUUGGGCGUAAAGCGCCUGUAGGUUGUUUAAUAAGUCUGUUGUUAAAGACUAGGGCUUAACCCUAGGAAAGCAAUGGAAACUACUAGACUUGAGUAUGAUAGGGGUAGAGGGAAUUUCUAGUGUAGCGGUGAAAUGCGUAGAUAUUAGAAAGAACACCGGUGGCGAAGGCGCUCUACUGGAUCAUUACUGACACUCAGAGGCGAAAGCUAGGGUAGCAAAAGGGAUUAGAUACCCCUGUAGUCCUAGCCGUAAACGAUGGAUACUACAUGUUGCGUUUUUAAUGCAGUAUGGUAGCUAACGCGUUAAGUAUCCCGCCUGGGGAGUACGCUCGCAAGGGUGAAACUCAAAGGAAUUGACGGGGGCCCGCACAAGCGGUGGAGCAUGUGGUUUAAUUCGAUGCAACGCGAAGAACCUUACCAAGGCUUGACAUACUACGAAUUUCUUUGAAAGAGGAAAGUGCCUUCGGGAACGUAGAUACAGGUGGUGCAUGGCUGUCGUCAGCUCGUG
Molecule: ribosomal RNA, 1009 nt
Filed under: uncultured marine bacterium
Lineage: Bacteria
Description: bacterial SSU rRNA
Rfam family: Bacterial small subunit ribosomal RNA
Source: RNAcentral